GGCGGACGGGUGAGUAACACGUGGGCAACCUGCCCGCAAGACCGGGAUAACUCCGGGAAACCGGAGCUAAUACCGGAUAACACCGAAGACCGCAUGGUCUUUGGUUGAAAGGCGGCCUUUGGCUGUCACUUGCGGAUGGGCCCGCGGCGCAUUAGCUAGUUGGUGAGGUAACGGCUCACCAAGGCGACGAUGCGUAGCCGGCCUGAGAGGGUGACCGGCCACACUGGGACUGAGACACGGCCCAGACUCCUACGGGAGGCAGCAGUAGGGAAUCUUCCGCAAUGGGCGAAAGCCUGACGGAGCGACGCCGCGUGAGCGAAGAAGGCCUUCGGGUCGUAAAGCUCUGUUGUGAGGGACGAAGGAGCGCCGUUCGAAGAGGGCGGCGCGGUGACGGUACCUCACGAGGAAGCCCCGGCUAACUACGUGCCAGCAGCCGCGGUAAUACGUAGGGGGCGAGCGUUGUCCGGAAUUAUUGGGCGUAAAGCGCGCGCAGGCGGUUCCUUAAGUCUGAUGUGAAAGCCCACGGCUCAACCGUGGAGGGUCAUUGGAAACUGGGGGACUUGAGUGCAGGAGAGGAGAGCGGAAUUCCACGUGUAGCGGUGAAAUGCGUA
RNAcentral lists this ribosomal RNA (611 nucleotides) under Geobacillus kaustophilus. RNAcentral's name for it is "bacterial SSU rRNA". It matches the Rfam family "Bacterial small subunit ribosomal RNA", at positions 97 to 692 of the family's 1533-position model. Lineage: Bacteria; Bacillati; Bacillota; Bacilli; Caryophanales; Anoxybacillaceae. The record is from RNAcentral.